UGAUAACACUUUCUUUUUUUAAAGAGGAAAUGCCUGAGUUCUGAGUGGCCCUGCCCGUAACUGUGUCUAGGAGAAAACAGGCCUGGCCACAGCCUGCCCACAGGGAAGAGCGUGCCCGGCUGACCUCUGAGCAACGUGUCCCUCUCACCAGCAGUGGGGUCUGGUUCCAGACACCUGACACAGCCCGCCUCACCCACACCUGCCUGUGUCCUCCGCCUGCCCCCUCCCUGCCACUCAGAUGCCUGUGUUUCCUCGUCCCCAGCCCCAGCCCUGGCGAGGAGCUCAGCUCCCUAGGACUCAGUCGGCUUUGAGCAACACUUAUUGAUGACGCAUGAAGGGGCGGCCGCUGGCCCACGCACAUGCUGCCUGCUUCUGCCGGUCCCAGUGGUACAGAUGUGUUAAAGUCAAGGCUCUGCCAGGAAAACCCCAGGGCACAAGAGGAAACGCUCUCACUGGCUCACAGAGAGGAGGGUUCUGGGGCCACGCCCUAACUCUGAGGCAGGGCUCUGCAAACAGAGCUGCGGCCACGCACCCUCUGCCUGGAGAUGCUCAUGACACAUGCAGAGCAUCAUGUGCGUUCACAUGCCGGGUGUCUGCACGCAGCUCCGUGGAGGACUGAAUCGGAGUGACGGAGACCACACACAGGGUUCUGGGAGUGAAGGACGCCGUGUCCCAUGAACACGAUUCAGAUGGCCUUGCCACCAUGAGAGCCAGAGAGACCUGUGGAAAAGCCCUUCUCCACCUUCUGCCCUGCUUUACUCUGAAACUUGGUGUAUUCCCGGGCCUGCAGCUCACAGGCUCACUGUGGGCUGCCAGUGUGACUAGGUGUGCAAGCUGGCACAAGUCAGUCAGUACCCAGGGCCUCGCGUUGCUCAUCCGUUGGCAUCAGCGGUAACAGCACACGACGUGGGGUCUGAGACAGGGCCUGAUCCACAGCUUAAUAAGUGUGGUUUCUGGGGGUGUGCAGUUGGGAAUGGGAAGAUAGCUCAGCCCCAAGACAGGUGUAAAUUUCAAGAAAGUUCUCGGGGCAAACACACGGUUUUAACAUAUAGGUAAGUGAAUUUACAAAUGAUGGAGAUGACGUACAUGGUUAGAUAUGGGAAUGUGGGUAGGCGUGGGCCCUGAGCCUUCCCCCCUACACCCCGAUUCUGUCUGCUCAGAGGGCCUAGAAGCAAUGCCACCCCAGGAGGAACACUCUCCCAGCGGCUGGAUCUUGGUUUCUAGACACCAUUCUCCACUGGAAGGAACCGAGGCUUCUUGACCAAAUGCUGAGUCCUCAGAAAACAAAGGCUGUUUUCAGAUCUAGAUCCACAGGGCACAGAGCAAUAGAGCCUCUUCUCACCAGCGGAGCCUCUGCCUGCCUCUUGCUAAUCCUCGGGCAACCUGAGGAUGAGGAAGCCAGCACCUGUGCCCAGCUGGGGCCUUUGCCCAGACCUGGUGGCCACCUGGAGAUCUCUCUGGUCCCUCUUGGGUCCUUCAAUCAGAUCUUCUGACCCGCCUCUGAUUCUCGUUAUGCACCAGGUGGAACCUCCUAUUGUGCCCCAAGUCCUGUCCCAUCCAGGAUGCUGGGACGCCAGCCAGGUCUUCUGUGUAAGCCUGGUCAUGGGGCCCCUCGGUGGCGUGCUCCCUCACAGCAGGUUCAGGGGCGUGACGGGCAGCCCAUUUUCUGUGCACUGGUCCUUCCUCAGGCUUCCAGGACUCAGAGCCGCCCUGUCCUCCGCUUGUAUCCUUCCUCUCUCCGUUUCCUGAUCUCUCCGCUCGCUCAUGAGCGUGUGGCCUGGCUCACUCCUUCUCAGGAAGGCUUCCCGGGCGUCUGGCCUGCCUGUGACCACAGCAGGCUCCAGCUCCAAGCUCUGCUCUGUCCCCUACACAAAACAAUAAGCCCCAAGGCCCACGUGCCUCGCUUGACGGGCAGAGACCCGGGCUCCCCAAAGGGAUUUUAAGUCAUUCCACUGCCUUCUUGAAGAGACAGGGGUGGAGCAGUUGCCCGGCAGGGGCGGCCCCGUGUUCAAACUCCAGAGCCACGGGGGGCGGGGUGGGGGAGAGAAAGAGGAAGAACGAUUCUCACCAAUGAUCACACAGAAAACAGCCACAGAGGCCCUCUCACCAACCUUGGUGGCCUCCACGGGUACAACUGUGCCGGAGCUGGGUUAGGGACGGGCAGAGGAAAGUGACAGGUCCCAGGGUGAUGACCAUCUUCUCAAGCCAUGUUCUGUGAGGAUGGAAAUGUCCCUGGAUCCUCUCUGACUCAUGUGGUGGCCACCAGUUCCCAUGUGGCUACUGAGCACUUGAAACGUGUGACAGAGAACUGGGUAUUUCACUGCCUUUACUUUUAACUAUUAAAAUUGAAGCAGCCACAGAUGUGGGGGCUUCAUGGGGACAGCUCAGCUCUAGACGGGGUGGGCGCCCUUCCUCUGUCGAGGACCCGAGAGCACCUACGUCAGGCUUGUCCUGGGCCCUGCUGCUGGGCAGUGGAGACCCUGAUGCCUGGACAUGAGACGCGGCGGGCCGGCUGGAUCUCCCUGCUGACAAAUGGUCCCAAACCUCAGUGCCUUCAAACGGCCGGAGUUAGGACUGCUCCUGAUGCUGCGGGUCGGCGGGCCUCUCUCUUGGUCUGGGCAGCUUGGCUGGAGCUCUGUUGCUUUAUUUAUGAAAACCGGCCACGUUUUAAAGCUUUCUCCAAGACACAGCAGACUGCCAUGCCAGACCUCCUCGGGGGUGACAGAACAUUAUUAAAGCAUGUUCCCACCCAGGUGUCCCUAUCAUCUUCUUGAGAACUCGCAAGGACGUCCUUGGAGGAACAGCCAGGCUGCUUAUGACCUUAGCAGAGCUGCAUCGUCCCCGAGGGACAACACAGAGGACAUGCACCUCUUCCACGGGCAGCCCUCUUUACGGAGUGUCUGGCCGAGUUACAGAGGCUGAGAAGCAGGGGAACAUCUCCCCUCCUCUGCAACAUAAUCCACAGAAAAAUCUGGAAAGUCGCCUCUCACCAGCACCGGGUGGAGACAGUCGCUUUACUCAGCUGGCUGAGUGACUGUCCACCUCAGGCCCACAGGUAGAGUCGAGCAGGCCCAAGGCAGCACAGACUUGCUGACCACAGCCUGGGAGAUGCCGAGGGCCCCCCGCGGCCACUUGCAGGGGGAAGACCAGCUGAGCACAGAGGGAAGCGGGGACGCAGAAGUCAGCCCUGACGCUGGAUUCAUCCCCGGCCUUUUUGAGACACGACUGUGUAAAGGCAACUGGCCACAGGCUUGUCCCCACCCCACCAACCACUGUCAGGUCACUCAGACUCCAACAAGCACCCCUCUGUUCAUGCUCACCGCAGGCACAGAGAGGGCCUCGGAAGUCCUGCCCAGGAGCUCAGGCGGGCGGAGGACACAGAACGACGCACAGAUGCUCAGGGCACUGGGCGCAGGGAUGAAGGGCAUUCUGGAGAACGAAGUGUUCUAGCCAGCUUUCCGCCACUCCGACCAGAAGACAUGACAACAUAGAGGAAGAAAAGUUGAUGUGCUCAUGGUUUCCGAGGUCUCAGUUCACACGCGGCCAGCUCCGUUGCUCAGGGCCCAAGACGAGGCAGAACAUCAAGAAUGUAGUGGGGGGGGGGGGGGGGCAAAGCAGCUCAGAACACGGCCAUCAGGAAACAGUCCUGGCACCUAGGACAAAACAUAAACCCCAGAGAGACGGCCCCCGGGGACCCACCUCCCCCAGCUACACCCUGCCCACCUCUGUCACCUCCCAGUUAAUCCCCACCACGGAUCAGUCCACUGACUGGGUCAAGGCUCUCAUAACCCAAUCGUUUCACCUCUCAUCUUCCUUGCAUCGUCUCACACACGAGCUGCUGGGGUCCCCUCGUGUCCAUGCCAUAACACUAAGGAAUGACGAGCUCCGUCCCAAUGGAAGAAGAACGUGAAGAGCCCAUUGCCUUUAUAGCUGCUGCUGGAGUGAGGCACAGGUGACGUGCCAUUGGACAAAAGCAAAAGAUUUAAGGGACGUUUCUCCAAUGAGCAGGUGAAGGUACGAGGUCAGGCCAAGGCCAGAGAGCAAGGGCUCGAGAAGACCAGCUGGCAACAGGAGCAACGCCGUGCCCGUCCUCGGGGGCCCCUCCUCAUGUCCCAGGGUCACCACCCCCAUCAUUCCCACGUUACACGCGUAGCUGAGGCUUGGAGAGCUUUUGAGAGUAAACUCGUCCAGGAUCACAGAGGCAGGGACAGCCAACAACGGCGACGGAGACCAUUGCCGUUCUGUCUGCACCGGAAGUUUCCAGCGUAACACAGCUGCAGUGGCCUCUGCCUCCCCUCCCGACUUGAGCUGGAGUCCAUUUCUCCACCCCACGAAUCUGAGCUUGCUGCGGCCAGUGGCACAAUAGCAAAAUGUGACACAAACAAAGGCUUUUACAAGUGUUCAUGCAUCAAGUUCCCUCUUCUGGCUGAGGAUCAUGCUCCACCACAUUGGGCAGGCCCUAGCCAGCCCCUCAGAGGAUGAGGAACAGUGUGGAGACAGGCCACCAGCUGGCUGAGCCCCCACAUCUGUUUGUGAGGCCAUCAGAAGCAACAGAGCCCAGCCAAGACGCACAGACCACAAGAAAUGCCCACCGACCUCAGAACCACAGCAAUCACAACUGUUUGCUGUGGUAAACCCUGAGGCCUGGGGCUGCUGGGCUGCAGAGAAAGUCAGCUCACGUGACCACCAGUGAUGUCCAUGUCGGGGGCCAUGGCCACAGAGCAUGUUAGGAAGGAGGGUCUGUGCUGGCGACUGGCAAGAGGAGGACUGGGGGCAAGGGCAGGAACAGGAGACUGCAGAGCUCUUUCAGGGGUGGGACCAACAGGCUUAGUGACCGACUGAGCCCAGAUCUGUCUAAAGGCAUCCUCUGGCUCUGGGCCAGGUGUGCUGUUGACUGUACACAGACCUGCUUGGAGCUCACUGGUAGGAGCAGGAGGUUUACAUGGAAGAACUCAGAAGUGGCCACAGUGAAGGCCGGGCAUGUGAGCGUCUGGAAUGGAAGGCCACGGGACCUAGGCUUUCUCAGGCCCUCGCCGCUGGAAGGGGAAUGUCAGUGAGGGAAUCACAGGUGGCCUCUAUGCCACCUGCUCCAGGCCAGCCCCUCUCUUAGCAGCAGCCGGAGGGAUCCCACCAAGAGUCCCCAGGCCACAGGUCACCACAUCCCAACCAUUCCCAGGGAGCUUCCAGUUGGGAAUAGCCCUGAACGUUCACUGCUGAACCGUCCCUGCAGCCGGCUGAUACACAGGAGCCACACGAGCAAGGAAAUCACCAGGGCCCAUUUUCUGGGAGGGACUUUAUGCGACUUGCAGAGACCACAGAGGAGGAAACCAAGUACCACAAGGUGGUUCCUCCAGAGAGGCGGGCCCCGGGGCACCCCCCCUCAGAGCGGAGCAGUGGACGGGCCGAGGGCUUAGACUCCAGCCUGCACCGAUGGCGGCCUCCUCCCAUGGCGGCCCUUCACCUAUCCCCUUCACUUGUCCCCACCCCACCCACAGCCACAGCUACCAACUCGGGACCUCAGCUGGCACUGCUGAGAAAUGUCUCCCAGCUCCAGCUGGAGCACAGAUUAAAACAAAUUCCAGUCAAACAAAUCACAGUUAUGUUCUUAUUUCUCCUGCUCUGGACCCAUAAAUCUUCCUUCCUUGACCCCAUUAGUGCAUCCGCCACUCACAGCCCCCUCGCGCCGUCCCUCGCUCCGUCAGAUGUUCCUUCCUACUACACAAUGUAAUGCAGUAAAUCUCAUCAGAGAUUUGUUCUUCCAUUUUGCUCCUUCUCUGGGUAGGACUGGGGACUGGGACUCAAACUGGACAGGACUCCAGUCUGCUUAUUAAAUCAAAGCGUUCCCCUCCAAGCAGAAAACGAUCGGCUGAGUAAAUGUGAACACGGAAUCUGGCUGAACACUAGGGCACAUUGUGAAUUACAGGAAUCUUUUGCAGAGGCCUGUGGGCAUGUCAUAUUCCAAAACAGGGUGGCCUGCUUUUGAGGUGUGCCCCUGGGGAGACCGGUCUGGUUAAACUGUGUGAUUGACAGGAACAGCUUUCUCGUGGAGAUUACUCCUUGGUAAGACACAAAGUCUUACCUACUCCAACUAUUUUUCAGGGCUGGGUUGAAAAAUAAAUGAAUGAAAU
Molecule: long non-coding RNA, 6128 nt
Filed under: Marmota monax (woodchuck)
Lineage: Eukaryota; Metazoa; Chordata; Mammalia; Rodentia; Sciuridae
Source: RNAcentral